Molecule: ribosomal RNA, 253 nt
Filed under: uncultured bacterium
Lineage: Bacteria
Description: partial 16S ribosomal RNA
Rfam family: Bacterial small subunit ribosomal RNA
Source: RNAcentral
UACGAAGGAUGCUAGCGUUGUCCGGAAUCACUGGGCUUAAAGGGCGCGUAGGCGGCUUGUUAAGUCGGGGGUGAAAGCCUGUGGCUCAACCACAGAAUUGCCUUCGAUACUGUCGGGCUUGAGAACGGAAGAGGUAAGUGGAACUGCUAGUGUAGCGGUGAAAUUCGUAGAUAUUCGCAAGAACACCAGUGGCGAAGGCGGCUUACUGGUCCGGUUCUGACGCUGAGGCGCGAAAGCGUGGGGAGCAAACAGG